GUUAGGAGGCAAUCAUAACACUGAAGUCGUCGACGUGUCACUCAGGGCUCCUGUCAUCCACAAAGUAAAUCACAGAGAAUUUAAAGGAACCUAUUCCAGCUCAAUUGGACUGGAGACAUGACCAAAGAGACUGAGACUCUGGGAGUGGUCUUUCAGAGCGAGAACUUCAACUAUAACCGUUACAACACAAACUACACCAUGGACCCCUGGUCGUACCUGGAUAGCCCCAUGCCCGAGGAGAACCUGGCCAAACCCAGACUCCACCCGGGGGACGACCUGGCAGCCAUAACCAUGCUUUAUGAACAGUGCAAGAGCCAGAAGGAGCAAAAGGUUGCCACCUGCGGCCGAAACAGUAGCUUCUGCAAACCAACAGAGAGGACUCCAAGCAAUGACCUCAUCUCAUUGGAGACAUCCGCAAACGUCAUUAAGAUCCUCUCUGAAAGCGUUCCCACCAGCUACUCCCUGGAGGUGUUAGGAUCCAAGCAGAACCCCUCGCUGCCCGUCUCCCUGCCCCCCAACGCUGACACCUACGCCACCCUGACCAGCGUGGCAGCGGACAGUGACAAGCAGGAGCUCAACAUCAUCUUCGACUCUCUGCUCCAAAAGUGGCCUGAGAGCAGCGCCUUCCCCGACCCCAGCGCAGAGACUCUUACCUACAACAACCCCUUCCCCGGAGACCACUCCAGUCCCGUCUACUCAGACUCCUACACUGGCUCCCCACCUGAGACUUAUAGGAGCGAGUUCCAAUUUUCCCUGGGCGCUCCCUCAGCUUCCCCUUAUAAAUCCAGCGAGUUACCCAUGGUCUACCUGAACAAGGGGCAGUUCUACCCCAUCACUUUGCAGGGAGUGGACAGCAGUGCCUGCAUGACUGCUACCAAAGUUAAGACCGUUGUGAUGGCCGUGUUCGAGAAUGACAAGACGCCUGAAAUGCAGCUCCGCUUUUGGAACCACUGGCAUGGGCGCCAGCCCACUGUCAAGCAGAGGGUCAUUGACAUCGCGGACUACAAAGAAGUGUUUACCGGCAUUAGCAACAUUGAAGAGGUCGCCUUCAAUGCGCUCUCCUUCAUUUGGAACCCCAACGAAGAAGCCAAGGUGUUUGUCGGCAUCAACUCGCUGAGCACCGACUUCUCGUCGCAAAAAGGCGUGAAGGGCCUGCCUCUCAACCUGCAGAUCGACACGUAUGACUUCAGCUCUGGGAACAAUCAGCUCAUACACAGAGCCGCCUGCCAAGUCAAGAUUUUCUGCGAUAAGGGGGCUGAGAGGAAGAUGCGCGAUGAAGAGAGGAAGAGGACCAAGAGGAGGGGCAAGACGGCCAAUGACGCCAAUGCCAAGUCUUUAGUGAGCAGCUCUAUGGGAAGCGACUGCACCUUCUUCCAGAUGGUGGAUGACCACAUAACCCAGCCGGUCCUCUUCAUCCCAGAGGCACAUCUGUCCAGUUUACAGCGCAUGGCCACGCCUAUAAUAGACGAGAACGAAAGAACUUCUCUGAAAAGGUUGUACUCAGACCGAGAGCAGAACUGCUCUCCACCCAGCAAACAAGUCCGCAGAGACGAUUCCCAGAGAGGUAAAACCACAAACUUUGUUGUUUGGGUGCUCAUCAAGCCAUCUGAGAGCCUCAACGCUUACAGUUUGUAUUUGUGUUUCCUUCCAAAAGUUCUGCUGUAUGUGAGGAGAGCUGCCGAAGAGGUUUUCGAUGCGCUCAUGCUCGACACGCCAACGGUGUCCGGCCUACGAGAAGCUAUUUCAGACAAGUAUGGCAUGCAUCCCAUUGGGAAAAUCUACAAGAAAUGCAAACGAGGGAUUUACGUCAACAUGGAUGACAUCAUCAUUGAACACUAUACCAACCAGUCAGCUUUCCUCAUCGAGAUGUCGGAGGCGGUCAGCGGUCAGUUCCAGGUCACUCUCAUCGAAGUAUGAUGACACCAUCACAGUUACGUCUCUAAAGCACUACGCCAUCAGUACAAGAAGAACAAAACAUGCCAACCAGCUGCGGACUGACCAAAACAACGAGACACCUGGGCUGACCUUUCAAUUUCAGACGUUUCCUUGCAGUUUUACAGCUAAUUGAUUCACAAACAUCUGGAUUUGGGAUUUUAAUUUCUGCAUCAACCGACCCGGACAGGUCCCGAGAAGAACCACUUCCCGGUGGUGUCUACAUGCAGCGCGUCAUUUCAUUCAAUAGACUCGCAUGCCGCUUUAACUAACAUUGUACAGCACCAUACAAUAUGAGAACUGUUGCCCACACUUGGCGUCCAUUGCAGCCUGAUUAUCCUGGAAGGAGGAUCCCUCCAUCUGUCGGCCCUUCUCAAGAUUAAUUUUUUCCUCAAAUGGGGUUUUGCGCUAUUCUUUUGCCCAUCUUUGUCAAUUUUGGGCGUGUGAAACCAUUUGAGACAUUUGUGAUUAAGGGCUUUACAAAUAAUGUUGGCUUGACCUUAUAAGACCCCAAGAUCGCAAUCAAUUAGUCAGUUAAGAUGGAUUUACCGUAACUUUGCGUGUAUAAUGCGCAUUAGAAAAAAAAUCGCAGAAGUCAAUAGUCAAUAGUGCGCAUUAUACAUAGGUACAGCAGAAAUGGAAAAAACUUUCAGAUUGUAUAAAUGUGUGACGCCAUCUAGUGGUUAUGAAAAAGCUGUACACUUUCAUUCCAAAAUGCCACCGCCACCUAGUGGUUAUAAUAAGGGUGUAGCCUACACUUUCAUUCCAAUAUGACAGUGGGUACGUGUGACUGCAUAUAUGUACAGGUAUGCUCAUAAGUUUACAUACCCUGACAGAAUUUGUGAAAUAUGGUUGUUGUUUUUUUAAUUUUUAAUGACUGAUGAAUGAACAACAACCAUCAUUCGUUUCUUUAUGGUUAUGUUUUGUUUAAUGAUAAUGCUUUUCUGAAAUGCUUGACCGUUUAAUUUGAAUCCCAUUAAAAUGAAAUUCAAUGUG
RNA transcript from Phyllopteryx taeniolatus (common seadragon), 2928 nucleotides. It is a transcript of the gene named grainyhead-like transcription factor 3, with no coding region annotated. The record is from RefSeq and is a predicted model, not a curated record. Lineage: Eukaryota; Metazoa; Chordata; Actinopteri; Syngnathiformes; Syngnathidae. The transcript is spliced from 15 exons.